CACUCAAAAAAUCCCAAACACUCAAAAAAAAAAACCCACUAAGAAUCUUGUCAGCCAGAACAUAAAGAAAAUCAGCUUCAGUUUUUUGAAGCAAUUGGGUAUCUCUGUUUUGAUGAUACCUAAGGGGCAGAUAGGUGUGCUGC
This is a long non-coding RNA of Dermochelys coriacea (leatherback sea turtle), 143 nucleotides long. RefSeq lists it as uncharacterized. The record is from RefSeq and is a predicted model, not a curated record. The transcript has 3 exons. Lineage: Eukaryota; Metazoa; Chordata; Testudines; Dermochelyidae.